GACGCAGGUCUUUAAUGGAAGGCGAUGAGGAGACGGCGCGGAGCCGGCCGCUCGGCUGGUCAGGAAUCCUCGAGAUCGGAACGAGGAUCUCUUGACGCGCAGAAUGCAAAAGACACCCGAAACGGGUGUCUUUUGCAUUCUUGGGGUACAGCUGCGAGGCCAUUCAU
This 167-nucleotide small RNA is filed under the name Paenibacillus sp. P22. RNAcentral's name for it is "Pseudomonas sRNA P4". Lineage: Bacteria; Bacillati; Bacillota; Bacilli; Caryophanales; Paenibacillaceae. The record is from RNAcentral.